CACUGGUCGAGAGAUGAUGUUGCUCUCCUGAUGAGUCAAGGCAAGACAGGACGAAAUCAGUG
Molecule: non-coding RNA, 62 nt
Filed under: Helianthus annuus (common sunflower)
Lineage: Eukaryota; Viridiplantae; Streptophyta; Magnoliopsida; Asterales; Asteraceae
Source: RNAcentral